RNAcentral lists this ribosomal RNA (135 nucleotides) under uncultured Alphaproteobacteria bacterium. RNAcentral describes it as "partial 16S ribosomal RNA". Lineage: Bacteria; Pseudomonadati; Pseudomonadota; Alphaproteobacteria. The record is from RNAcentral.
UUCUUAGGGUACAGUCAUUAUCUUCCCCUACAAAAGAGCUUUACAACCCAAAGGCCUUCUUCACUCACGCGGCAUCGCUGCAUCAGAGUUUCCUCCAUUGUGCAAGAUUCCCCACUGCUGCCUCCCGUAGGAGUA